This 407-nucleotide ribosomal RNA is filed under the name uncultured bacterium. Its description in RNAcentral is "partial 16S ribosomal RNA". It matches the Rfam family "Bacterial small subunit ribosomal RNA", at positions 30 to 526 of the family's 1533-position model. The record is from RNAcentral.
AUUGAACGCUGGCGGCAGGCCUAACACAUGCAAGUCGAGCGGAGCGGCGUACGGGUGAUUAAUGCCUAGGAAUUUGCCUGGUAGUGGGGGAUAACGUCCGGAAACGGGCGCUAAUACCGCAUACUAUUAGAUGAGCCUAGGUCGGUUUAGGUUGUUUGUGGGGUAAAGGCCUACCAAGGCGACGAUCCGUAACUUGUCUGAGAGGAUGAUCAGUCACAACGGAAAGGAGAAACGGUCCAGACUCGUACGGGAGGCAGCAGUGGGGAAUAUUGGACAAAUGGCGAAAGCCUGAUCCAUCCAUGCCGCGUGCGUGAAGAAGGUGUUCAGAGUGUAAAGCACUUUAAGUUGGGAGGCGUUACCAACAGAAUAAGCACCGGCUAACUACGUGCCAGCAGCCGCGGUAAUUC